This 709-nucleotide ribosomal RNA is filed under the name Nocardiopsis sp. J380. RNAcentral's name for it is "bacterial SSU rRNA". It matches the Rfam family "Bacterial small subunit ribosomal RNA", at positions 46 to 756 of the family's 1533-position model. Lineage: Bacteria; Bacillati; Actinomycetota; Actinomycetes; Streptosporangiales; Nocardiopsidaceae. The record is from RNAcentral.
GCAUUAACACUAUGCAAGUCGAGCGGUAAGGCCCUUCGGGGUACACGAGCGGCGAACGGGUGAGUAACACGUGAGCAACCUGCCCCUGACUCCGGGAUAAGCGGUGGAAACGCCUGUCUAAUACCGGAUACGACCCGCCACCUCAUGGUGGAGGGUGGAAAGUUUUUCGGUCAGGGAUGGGCUCGCGGCCUAUCAGCUUGUUGGUGGGGUAACGGCCUACCAAGGCGAUUACGGGUAGCCGGCCUGAGAGGGCGACCGGCCACACUGGGACUGAGACACGGCCCAGACUCCUGCGGGAGGCAGCAGUGGGGAAUAUUGCGCAAUGGGCGAAAGCCUGACGCAGCGACGCCGCGUGGGGGAUGACGGCCUUCGGGUUGUAAACCUCUUUUACCACCAACGCAGGCCCGGAGUUCUCUUCGGGUUGACGGUAGGUGGGGAAUAAGGACCGGCUAACUACGUGCCAGCAGCCGCGGUAAUACGUAGGGUCCGAGCGUUGUCCGGAAUUAUUGGGCGUAAAGAGCUCGUAGGCGGCGUGUCGCGUCUGCUGUGAAAGACCGGGGCUUAACUCCGGUUCUGCAGUGGAUACGGGCAUGCUAGAGGUAGGUAGGGGAGACUGGAAUUCCUGGUGUAGCGGUGAAAUGCGCAGAUAUCAGGAGGAACACCGGUGGCGAAGGCGGGUCUCUGGGCCUUACCUGCCGCUGAGGAGCGU